GAUGAACGCUGGCGGCGUGCCUAAUACAUGCAAGUCGAGCGAAGCGGGAACGGGUGAGUAACAGGUGGAUAACCUCCUAUAAGGCUGGGAUAACUUCCGGAAAACGAAGACAAACCGGCAACUUAUUAUUGGAUCCGGGCUGCAUUAGCUAGUUGGUAAGGUAACGGCUGACCAAGGCAACGAUGCAUAGCCGACCUGAGAGGGUGAUCGGCCCCACUGGAACUGAGAAACGGUCCAGACUCCUACGGGAGGCAGCAGAAGGGAAUAUUCCGCAAUGGGCGAAAGCCUGACGGAGCAACGCCGCGUGAGUGAUGAAGGUCUUCGGAUCGUAAAACUCUGUUAUUAGGGAAGCGGUACCUAUUCAGAAAGCCACGGCUAACUACGUGCCAGCAGCCGCGGUAAUAC
Molecule: ribosomal RNA, 405 nt
Filed under: uncultured bacterium
Lineage: Bacteria
Description: partial 16S ribosomal RNA
Rfam family: Bacterial small subunit ribosomal RNA
Source: RNAcentral